Molecule: ribosomal RNA, 205 nt
Filed under: uncultured bacterium
Lineage: Bacteria
Description: partial 16S ribosomal RNA
Rfam family: Bacterial small subunit ribosomal RNA
Source: RNAcentral
UCUACGGGAGGCAGCAGUAGGGAAUAUUGCACAAUGGGCGAAAGCCUGAUGCAGCAACGCCGCGUGUGUGAUGAAGGCCUUCGGGUCGUAAAGCACUUUUCUGGGAGAUGAGAAAGGACAGUAUCCCAGGAAUAAGUCUCGGCUAACUACGUGCCAGCAGCCGCGGUAAUAACGUAGGAGGCGAGCGUUAUCCGGAUUCACUGGG